This is a non-coding RNA of Habropoda laboriosa, 58 nucleotides long. The record is from Rfam. Lineage: Eukaryota; Metazoa; Arthropoda; Insecta; Hymenoptera; Apidae.
UGGCGUAGCGCGCAAAGCCUCGGCUUGCUAAGCCGACGGUCCCGGGUUCGAUUCCCGG